This 459-nucleotide ribosomal RNA is filed under the name uncultured bacterium. RNAcentral describes it as "partial 16S ribosomal RNA". It matches the Rfam family "Bacterial small subunit ribosomal RNA", at positions 338 to 795 of the family's 1533-position model. The record is from RNAcentral.
CCUACGGGUGGCAGCAGUGAGGAAUAUUGGUCAAUGGGCGCGAGCCUGAACCAGCCAAGUCGCGUGAGGGAAGACGGUCCUAUGGAUUGUAAACCUCUUUUGUCGGGGAGCAAAAGACGCCACGCGUGGCGUUCCGAGAGUACCCGAAGAAAAAGCAUCGGCUAACUCCGUGCCAGAAGCCGGGAUAAUACGGAGGAUGCGAGCGUUAUCCGGAUUUAUUGGGUUGAACGGGUGCGCAGGCGGAAGAUCAAGUCAGCGGUAAAAUUGAGGGGCUCAACCUCUUCGAGCCGUUGAAACUGGGUUGCUUGAGUGAGUGAGAAGUAUGCGGAAUGCGUGGUGUAGCGGUGAAAUGCAUAGAUAUCACGCAGAACUCCGAUUGCGAAGGCAGCAUACCGGCGCUCAACUGACGCUCAUGCACGAAAGUGUGGGGAUCGAACAGGAUUAGAUACCCCUGUAGUC